UGGCGACCGGCGCACGGGUGAGUAACACGUAUCCAACCUGCCGAUGACUCGGGGAUAGCCUUUCGAAAGAAAGAUUAAUACCCGAUGGCAUAGUUCUUCCGCAUGGUAGAACUAUUAAAGAAUUUCGGUCAUCGAUGAGGAUGCGUUCCAUUAGGUUGUUGGCGGGGUAACGGCCCACCAAGCCUUCGAUGGAUAGGGGUUCUGAGAGGAAGGUCCCCCACAUUGGAACUGAGACACGGUCCAAACUCCUACGGGAGGCAGCAUG
RNAcentral lists this ribosomal RNA (265 nucleotides) under uncultured bacterium. RNAcentral describes it as "partial 16S ribosomal RNA". It matches the Rfam family "Bacterial small subunit ribosomal RNA", at positions 89 to 353 of the family's 1533-position model. The record is from RNAcentral.